CUACUGUUCACUAAUGAAAGCUUGGUGUAACCCAAAUUUUGACUUCUGUCAUGUGUGCAUUUGCUACGUGCUUAAAAGUACAGGACAGUCUGUUCUGAUGGCCUCAGCUGAACUUUAGCCUUUAGGAGACUUCUGCAUUAAUAUAGAAAAAGAAGAAGAAAAAGAUAUAGAUUUCCAUCUAGUCUCACAGAACUUUUAUGUUUUGCGCUUAUGACGCUGUUUUUCUGAGUUUUGGCUUCACACGUCUGUAUUUUGAGUUAUUUUUUAUCCUUGUGGGUUUUUGAUAAGGGAGACAAUACAGCCAAUCUCCUGAGGUCUUUGCAACCCUGCAUUUAGCUGAGCAACACCCAAAGGCAACAGCUAUCUGUUGAUCUUCUAAAAUGUGGAAGUGAAACUGGACUGCAAGGCCCAUCUGGUAUCUUUAUAUGGACCAGAGGCAUAUGACCAAUGUCUUUCUAUCUAUUUGAGACAUGACUUCAUUUCUGGAUCACGAGACUCUUUGCUUGAAGGGACUACAUAAGGAGGUGCAAACCCCUCCUUCCUCAGCUCAGACUGAGUUCAGCCUAGACCCUUCUAGCUGGACUUAGUCUUUUCUCACCUUCUUCUUUAUCUUUGAUUCCGGGCUCACUUGAAUACUUCGAACUUCUCUCAGAUAUGAGAUUAAUCUAGUCAAGUGCAAUUUGACCUGCAAAUGCUCUAUAGAAGUGGAUGAUGACGAAGCCUUCAUCCAAAAAUCCACAGAGGAGACCACAGUGGGAAUCUACAUUCUUAAAUUCCAUGACAGAUCAGAUGACAUCGGGAUUGUUCUGGAAGGCCAGAACAUCUUGCAAGGCUUGGACAACUUUGCGUUAGCUAUGGCAAUGCCUUAUGUCUUAUGUAUGCCUUAAAUCUCAACUACCCACCUGAAAUAAAAAAUACAUUUGAGGUACUGCAGAAGAUAGUCUUCUGUUUUUUAAUAACUUGAUACUGUUCGUUUACUUCUGUAGCACAUACAUAAAAAUGAAUUGUACUCUUAAUAGAAAUACAUGAAUUUGACUUUUUAUGAUUUUAAAAUUGAAAACAAAAAUGUCAAGGUAUGCUUUUGACAACUUGAUAUUGUUCACCUUUUCCUCUACACCUGUUUGACGGUGUAUUUGUCUUAAUGUUUGUUUUGUUGCAGUUAUUGUAUGAAUGGUUAUUACUGUUCACCUUUUCCACGAUAUGUUUGUGCAUUGUCUUUUACUUGAAGUGAUGAAUAAAUGAAAUGAGUAAAGUGA
Carassius gibelio (silver crucian carp) is the source of this 1256-nucleotide long non-coding RNA. RefSeq lists it as uncharacterized. NCBI's taxonomy places the organism in Eukaryota, Metazoa, Chordata, Actinopteri, Cypriniformes, Cyprinidae. The transcript has 3 exons. The record is from RefSeq and is a predicted model, not a curated record.